AGAAGUUGAAGUUGACUGAAAACUCACAUACCUUAUUCAUGAUGAUUUGAGAACAAUAUAAUUUUAACAAGUUUCACCUCAAAUAAUUUUCAUAUCUUGAAAAACUACCAGGAGCACAACAGGAGAACGUGGAUUGUUAAUUGUAUAGAAGAUGCAAAAAUGCAUUGAAGACAUUAAACUCGGCUGUUAUAUAUACAGGGAGUGCACAUUUUGUGUGCGCAAGUCACGUGCACAUUGUGUUCGUGCGAAUCAAGUGCGUGUCUUGUGUCUGAUUAUCGAUUUUUCAUUUUGACAAAGAUACGUUAAUAUGCACCAAUUGUUUGAAAAUUCUCGAAGAAAACUAGAAAAUAUGCUACAAUCAAUAAUUUAUAGUAGCAAAAUCACAAGAUUAAUUGAAAUUUUACCAUAUAUUAAAAAUUGGCAUGCCUCAAAAAGCAAAAGCAUGUUAAUUUUUACUUAAAAAAGCAAAAACAUGGUACCCUAAAUUUUAAUGAUUUGUCAGAAUAGUGGACAUUUUAAAAAGCAAAAACAUGUUAAUUGUUACUUAAAAACACAAAAUUAAUUUCUGGAAUGUGCAAGUUAACAAAGUUUUGAACAAUUUCUAUCCUUGAUGAGAUGUGACAAAUGACAUGAAUCAACAUAAUAAGAUUUUAAAUAUGUAAUAUGAUAUCCACUUAACUGAACUUCAUAUCACAUGGAUAUGAUCCCUAAUGGGUACAUACAACAUUACUCAAAUUUUGUAUAUACAUAAUUUUAGCACGUACUUGGACUGAUUUCAGUUCACUUUCCAAUUUUUCAGGCUCAGCCACCGGUAUGUCUAGUUUAUAUAACAUUGGUAAAGAGAGGUCACCAAAUACAGCACGAUACGAAUACCAGAGCUUCGAAUAACAAGAUGGACAUGCCAAGAGAUGCAAGUAUAUAACACCCGCAUCUUAAACGUCUUAAGUUCAAAUAUUCACGCACCAAGUCAACUAAAUAUUACUCGAAAAACAAUCCGAAGAUCAAACCAGUGACAAGAACACCUCAAAGCUGAAAUGGCUCCCGGAUAUAUAUUUUACUUUGUGAAUUUACACAGAAGUGGUUAUACAUCACAUGACAAGAAAGUUGCCUUGUGCUGAUGAUGCAAAACCAAGUAUAUCAAUUUGGCUAUGGUUUAAGGAGAAACCAUAUUUAGUCGCUAGAAACAAAAGCAAGGUUCCAAAUGAUGAUCCUGACUAG
This 1218-nucleotide long non-coding RNA is filed under the name Olea europaea (common olive). RNAcentral describes it as "long non-coding RNA (OEUR_LNC001494)". The record is from RNAcentral. Lineage: Eukaryota; Viridiplantae; Streptophyta; Magnoliopsida; Lamiales; Oleaceae.